CGGGGUGAGUAAUGUCUGGGAAACUGCCUGAUGGAGGGGGGUAACUACUGGAAACGGUAGCUAAUACCGCAUAACGUCGCAAGACCAAAGAGGGGGACCUUCGGGCCUCUUGCCAUCGGAUGUGCCCAGAUGGGAUUAGCUAGUAGGUGGUGUAACGGCUCACCUAGGCGACGAUCCCUAGCUGGUCUGAGAGGAUGGCCAGCCACACUGGAACUGAGACACGGUCCAG
RNAcentral lists this ribosomal RNA (229 nucleotides) under uncultured bacterium. Its description in RNAcentral is "partial 16S ribosomal RNA". It matches the Rfam family "Bacterial small subunit ribosomal RNA", at positions 104 to 334 of the family's 1533-position model. The record is from RNAcentral.